Molecule: ribosomal RNA, 468 nt
Filed under: uncultured bacterium
Lineage: Bacteria
Description: SSU rRNA
Rfam family: Bacterial small subunit ribosomal RNA
Source: RNAcentral
AGGACGAACGCUGGCGGCGUGCUUAACACAUGCAAGUGGAGCGACGAACCAGGGCUUGCCCUGGGGCAGAGCCGCGAACGGGUGAGUAACACGUGGGUUACCUGCCUCGAUGACCGGGACAACCCGAGGAAACUCGGGCUAAUACCGGAUGUGCCCGCAAGGGGAAAGGAAGCUUCGGCCUCCGCAUCGAGAUGGGCCCGCGGCCCAUUAGCUUGUUGGUGAGGUAACGGCUCACCAAGGCUUCGAUGGGUAGCUGGUCUGAGAGGACGAUCAGCCACACUGGGACUGAGACACGGCCCAGACUCCUACGGGAGGCAGCAGUGGGGAAUCUUGCGCAAUGCGCGAAAGCGUGACGCAGCAACGCCGCGUGGGGGAAGAAGGCUUUCUGAGUUGUAAACCUCUUUCAGCAGGAACGAUAGUGACGGUACCUGCAGAAGAAGCACCGGCCAACUACGUGCCAGCAGCCGC